GUCUAGAGGCUUCGGCAAUGGGGGCAACCCUGACCGAGCGACGCCGCGUGUGGGAUUGAAGGCCUUCGGGUCGUAAACCACUGUCAUUGGGAAAGAAUACCGGAAUGGUGAAUUCCGGGGCGACGGUACCCAAGGAGGAAGCCCCGGCUAACUCCGUGCCAGCAGCCGCGGUAAUACGGAGGGGGCAAGCGUUGUUCGGAUUUACUGGGCGUAAAGGGUGUGUAGGCGGUUGCGUAAGUCUGGUGUGAAAUCUUCACCGCUUAACGGGAAGAGGUCACUGGAAACUGCGUAACUCGAGUAUGGUAGAGGCAAGCGGAAUUCCUGGUGUAGCGGUGGAAUGUGUAGAUAUCAGGAAGAACACCGGUGGCGAAGGCGGCUUGCUGGGCCAUCACUGACGCUGAGACACGAAAGCGUGGGGAGCAAACGGGAUUAGAAACCCCAGUAGUCC
This 448-nucleotide ribosomal RNA is filed under the name uncultured bacterium. RNAcentral's name for it is "bacterial SSU rRNA". It matches the Rfam family "Bacterial small subunit ribosomal RNA", at positions 354 to 796 of the family's 1533-position model. The record is from RNAcentral.